GAUGAACGCUGGCGGUAUGCUUAACACAUGCAAGUCGAACGGACUCUUCGGAGUUAGUGGCGGACGGGUGAGUAACGCGUGAGAAUCUGGCUUUGGGUUCGGGACAACCACUGGAAACGGUGGCUAAUACCGGAUGUGCCGAGAGGUAAAAGAGAAAUUGCCUGAAGAUGAGCUCGCGUCUGAUUAGCUAGUUGGUGAGGUAAAGGCUCACCAAGGCAGCGAUCAGUAGCUGGUCUGAGAGGAUGACCAGCCACACUGGGACUGAGACACGGCCCAGACUCCUACGGGAGGCAGCAGGGGGGAAUUUUCCGCAAUGGGCGAAAGCCUGACGGAGCAAUACCGCGUGAGGGAAGAAGGCUCUUGGGGUGUAAACCUCUUUUCUUAGGGAAGAACAAAAUGACGGUACCUAAGGAAUCAGCAUCGGCUAACUCCGUG
RNAcentral lists this ribosomal RNA (435 nucleotides) under uncultured bacterium. RNAcentral's name for it is "partial 16S ribosomal RNA". It matches the Rfam family "Bacterial small subunit ribosomal RNA", at positions 28 to 507 of the family's 1533-position model. The record is from RNAcentral.